AACUCAAAUGAAUUGACGGGGGCCCGCACAAGCGGUGGAGCAUGUGGUUUAAUUCGAUGCAACGCGAAGAACCUUACCUGGUCUUGACAUCCACAGAACUUUCCAGAGAUGGAUUGGUGCCUUCGGGAACUGUGAGACAGGUGCUGCAUGGCUGUCGUCAGCUCGUGUUGUGAAAUGUUGGGUUAAGUCCCGCAACGAGCGCAACCCUUAUCCUUUGUUGCCAGCGGUCCGGCCGGGAACUCAAAGGAGACUGCCAGUGAUAAACUGGAGGAAGGUGGGGAUGACGUCAAGUCAUCAUGGCCCUUACGACCAGGGCUACACACGUGCUACAAUGGCGCAUACAAAGAGAAGCGACCUCGCGAGAGCAAGCGGACCUCAUAAAGUGCGUCGUAGUCCGGAUUGGAGUCUGCAACUCGACUCCAUGAAGUCGGAAUCGCUAGUAAUCGUGGAUCAGAAUGCCACGGUGAAUACGUUCCCGGGCCUUGUACUCACCGCCCGUC
RNAcentral lists this ribosomal RNA (500 nucleotides) under uncultured bacterium. RNAcentral describes it as "bacterial SSU rRNA". It matches the Rfam family "Bacterial small subunit ribosomal RNA", at positions 898 to 1398 of the family's 1533-position model. The record is from RNAcentral.